This is a non-coding RNA of Pseudopodoces humilis (Tibetan ground-tit), 490 nucleotides long. NCBI's taxonomy places the organism in Eukaryota, Metazoa, Chordata, Aves, Passeriformes, Paridae. The record is from RefSeq and is a predicted model, not a curated record.
GAAAUACUGGAUGUGCAUGUAUACACCCAAGAACUUGCCAGUCAAGAUGAAAAACUUCUUCUAAUGGAAUCCAGCUUGAAAGCAACUCAAGAGCAGCUAAGUGAGCAAAUAGCAGAAACAGUUCGCCAAGAACAGAACAGUAGAAAAUCACAGACGGAGAGCUGAAGACCCUGAGAAAACAUACUCUAACUUCUGAAGAAGAAAGUAGUGAUUACAAAGACAUGGUGGUGUGCACCAUAUGGAGCUACAACUGAGGCAGAAGCUCUCCCACCCAUAGCAAAAGGUUCACUUUGUUUACCAUUGUCAAACUUAUGACUGAAUAAUUCCUAUUUUGUAUAAAAGAAUCAGGAAAAGUGUGGAGGACUUAAAGGUAAGAAUAACAACAUCAAAUAAAGAGGAUAAGUAGCAACUUUCUCAAGACCUCAGUGUCUACUAGUCCUGGCAUAAGUAGAGAUAAUCUCAAUCAGGUGAAGAACUAGAAAAUUUGAAG